AUGAGUGAGUCGAGCUUGAAGUCCAGCCAGCCCUUGGCCUCCAAGCAGGAAAUGGACAGCACUGAGAAGCGGGGCCGGGGCAGGCCCCGCAAGCAGCCUCUGGUGAGUUCCGGGACAGCACUGGUAGGGAGUCAGAAGGAGCCCAGUGAAGUGCCAACACCUAAGAGACCUUGGGGCCAACCAAAGGGAAGCAAAAACAAGGGAGCUGCCAAGACCCGGAAAACCACCACAACUCCAGGAAGGAAACCAAGGGGCAGACCCAAAAAACUGGAGAAGGAGGAAGAGGAGGGCAUCUGGCAGGAGUCCUCAGAGGAGGAGCAGUGA
RNAcentral lists this long non-coding RNA (324 nucleotides) under Homo sapiens (human). RNAcentral's name for it is "non-protein coding lnc-ALB-8:1". Lineage: Eukaryota; Metazoa; Chordata; Mammalia; Primates; Hominidae. The record is from RNAcentral.